Molecule: long non-coding RNA, 1805 nt
Filed under: Volvox carteri
Lineage: Eukaryota; Viridiplantae; Chlorophyta; Chlorophyceae; Chlamydomonadales; Volvocaceae
Description: long non-coding RNA (VCAR_LNC002459)
Source: RNAcentral
UGUGGUACUCGGCGGCCUCGGUCUUGUUCUUCUCCUGCUGCCGCUUCUUCAGGAUCUUGCGAGCGCGCUUGCGCUGCAGGGCAGCGGGGGUCACCAGCCUGCGAGGCCGCGUAGCGAGAUGGGCAAGGAAAGCGGUUACGAAAAGACCGAGGACUACCACAUUGACCUUUGCACGAAGGUGUCAAAAACCAAGGUGCAUCCAGUUAAAGUUGCAGGGUCACGGAUGCAAUGAUGGAGGUGCAGGCAUUGGUUCUGCAUGGCCAAGCAGCAGGGCAGGCACUGUAGCAAUCCUCUAGGCUCGUAAAACGCAUGCUGCCAGCCCAAGCCCUCAUCACUACGCGUAUCCUCGUGGCAUCAUCUCUAGUAGUAUCGGCGGACUGCUUUUCCUCAUACAACCAGGGUUUCCUGCCCUUACCUCUGGAUCUUAGGGCACUUGCGGUGGGUCUUGCCGUUCUUGUCCUUCCGCUCGCGCGAGUAGAUGGUGACGUACCUGGGAAUUGCGAGUGACCCAUUGUUAACAAUUCUCAUCCAUUUCUUGCAAAAAUAUCAAGUUAACGCAUUGGCAACCCAAACCCGACCUUGAGAACUACACAGCGCAUCAUAAUGCCUGGAAGAUCACUCGUCUCGUCCACCGGCACCCUGCCAAGGUCAGUCCUUUCCCUAGACCUUAUUUCCACCCAAGGAUUCUUACUUGCGCACGUCGUCCUCCUUGGACAGGUUGAACAUCUUGCGAAUCUUGCUCGCACGCUUGGGACCGCGCAUGCGGGGCUUCUCCUCAUCCGUCAGGCCGGGCAGCUCCGCCUCACCCUUCUUGACGAUCACCAGGUUCAGCACCGACAGGUCCGGAGAGACGAUGCAGCCGCGAACGGACUUCCGGCGGCGCUCACCUGCCGGCAAAAACGUAAGACACCGUACCGAAUUGCGCAGGGUCGACAUGAGGGAAGAGCGCAGAGCACACACAGGCUGUGGCCAGCCCAUCCAGGCCAUGAUAUCCGAGCUCAAGAACAAUCCCUGCUCCCGAACAUUGCUAACGGGCGUUGGCGACUGAAGCAUGCAAGGACAUGCGUGGGAAUGUCUCGAGUAGCCAGGUUGAAAUGUAACUCCAUAAUAGGUGUAUGAUAACGGGAGUCGUCAAGAAUUCCCACUGGCCAACUGGCUUGCGCUGGUUAAAUCACAUGCGCUCCUUGCGUCGCGGUGUCCAUCCCAUGCAAUUCGAAACAUCACGCCAAAGCUCCCAGGAGUAAAAGGCGGUGCACCGGCAUACGCCCAAUAUACGCCUAUCGCCCCGAUAGCACCGAUGACGACGAAGACGGCACAAGCGAAUCGAUUGGCGAUAGCUGAAGUCGCUAGAUGAGCGUAGCGCUUCCAAGCUUCAUCUAGGCAUCUAGGAUUUUGGGCCCAGCCUCAUGACACAUGAACACCUGUUCCUCGACGUCACACGGCCAGCCAUCCAAUGGCUACAUCUUCAAAGCUGUGAGCUGCGAGUACUGAUGCAGCACCGGGAUAUUGAGCUGAGCAUACUAGGUGCUGGUACGACAUGCUGCAGUACUGGUGUCAGCGACAGCACCCAAACGGAAUAGCUGUUCUUACAGCAGGCACGCACCCAGCAGCUCCGGGACAGGCUGGAAGCCAGAGCUGCUCGCCAAAGAGUGCCCACCGUUAGAAGAUCGGCAGUAUGCUUCCAGGUAAGCUAGCCCUAUUUUCCUGUCGUAUCACCUCUCCUGGAAAGCUUUUCCCGUAAUGCGUAGACCUCGCUAAGCAAGCUAGAGUUUGGCUGGAAUAAACAGUCCAAAGGCCACUUCCGC